Molecule: ribosomal RNA, 919 nt
Filed under: Synergistetes bacterium oral taxon 361
Lineage: Bacteria; Thermotogati; Synergistota
Description: bacterial SSU rRNA
Rfam family: Bacterial small subunit ribosomal RNA
Source: RNAcentral
GAUGAACGCUGGCGGCGUGCGUAACACAUGCAAGUUGGACGACGGUAUCAAGAAGUGGUAACACGGAUUGAUAUACGGAGUAGCGGACGGGUGAGUAAAGCAUGAGAAGCUGUCCUACGGAGGGGGAUAACGUUCGGAAACGGACCCUAAUACCCCAUAGUCCGAGAGGUUAAAGGCAGAGAUGUGCCGUAGGAGGGGCUCGUGUCCUAUCAGCUGGUUGGUGAGGUAAGGGCUCACCAAGGCGACGACGGGUAGCCGGCCUGAGAGGGUGACCGGCCACACUGGAACUGAGAUACGGUCCAGACUCCUACGGGAGGCAGCAGUGGGGAAUAUUGGGCAAUGGGAGGAAUCCUGACCCAGCGACGCCGCGUGAACGAAGACGGCCUUCGGGUUGUAAAGUUCUUUUAUGUGGGAAGAAGGAAGUGACGGUACCACAUGAAUAAGCCCCGGCUAACUACGUGCCAGCAGCCGCGGUAAUACGUAGGGGGCGAGCGUUGUCCGGAAUUACUGGGCGUAAAGGGCACGCAGGCUGUGCUUCAAGUCAGCUGUAAAAGGAUGCGGCUUAACCGUGUUAUGCAGUUGAGACUGAGGUGCUGGAGUACCGGAGAGGCAAGUGGAAUUCCCAGUGUAGCGGUGAAAUGCGUAGAUAUUGGGAAGAACAUCGGUGGCGAAGGCGACUUGCUGGACGGUAACUGACGCUGAGGUGCGAAAGCCAGGGGAGCGAACGGGAUUAGAUACCCCGGUAGUCCUGGCUGUAAACGAUGAAUGCUAGGUGUGCGAGCAGAGAUGUUGGUGUGCCGCAGUUAACGCGAUAAGCAUUCCGCCUGGGGAGUACGGUCGCAAGAUUGAAACUCAAAGGAAUUGACGGGGGCCCCGCACAAGCGGUGGAGCACGUGGUUUAAAUUUCAAUGCAAAACCG